AAGAUGCACAGGGCAUGGCUGGCCAGCAAUGGUCAGAGGAAAGUCCGGACUGCACGGGACAGCGUACCGGCUAAUAUACCGGGCGGGGCGACCCGACGAUCAGAGCAACAGUGACGUAAACGAUUAAAUUCGAGUGAAACGGGCAAUCUCUGCGCGCAGCAACUUCAAAUAGGCCCCCUAUAUGUGUCCCGCAUCGGGGGCGGGUAGAAGGCUUGACAUAUCGCAGUAAUGCAAUAUGCAGAUUAAUCAUGCCCACUACCGCGGGGUGGUAUGCGAAACAUACUGGCCCGUCGGCAGGACAGAAUCCGGCUUAUAUGUUCAUCUGCACC
This 329-nucleotide RNase P RNA is filed under the name Alphaproteobacteria bacterium. Its description in RNAcentral is "RNase P RNA component class A". It matches the Rfam family "Bacterial RNase P class A". From Rfam's summary of the family: Ribonuclease P (RNase P) is a ubiquitous endoribonuclease, found in archaea, bacteria and eukarya as well as chloroplasts and mitochondria. Its best characterised activity is the generation of mature 5'-ends of tRNAs by cleaving the 5'-leader elements of precursor-tRNAs. Cellular RNase Ps are ribonucleoproteins. Lineage: Bacteria; Pseudomonadati; Pseudomonadota; Alphaproteobacteria. The record is from RNAcentral.